GGGCGCAAGCCUGAUCCAGCCAUACCGCGUGGGUGAAGAAGGCCUUCGGGUUGUAAAGCCCUUUUGUUGGGAAAGAAAUCCAUCUGGCUAAUACCCGGGUGGGAUGACGGUACCCAAAGAAUAAGCACCGGCUAACUUCGUGCCAGCAGCCGCGGUAAUACGAAGGGUGCAAGCGUUACUCGGAAUUACUGGGCGUAAAGCGUGCGUAGGUGGUCGUUUAAGUCCGUUGUGAAAGCCCUGGGCUCAACCUGGGAACUGCAGUGGAUACUGGGCGACUAGAAUGUGGUAGAGGGUAGCGGAAUUCCUGGUGUAGCAGUGAAAUGCGUAGAGAUCAGGAGGAACAUCCAUGGCGAAGGCAGCUACCUGGACCAACAUUGACACUGAGGCACGAAAGCGUGGGGAGCAAACAGGAUUAGAUACCCUGGUAGUCCACGCCCUAAACGAUGCGAACUGGAUGUUGGGUGCAAUUUGGCACGCAGUAUCGAAGCUAACGCGUUAAGUUCGCCGCCUGGGGAGUA
Molecule: ribosomal RNA, 518 nt
Filed under: uncultured Stenotrophomonas sp.
Lineage: Bacteria; Pseudomonadati; Pseudomonadota; Gammaproteobacteria; Lysobacterales; Lysobacteraceae
Description: bacterial SSU rRNA
Rfam family: Bacterial small subunit ribosomal RNA
Source: RNAcentral